Molecule: ribosomal RNA, 449 nt
Filed under: uncultured bacterium
Lineage: Bacteria
Description: partial 16S ribosomal RNA
Rfam family: Bacterial small subunit ribosomal RNA
Source: RNAcentral
AGCGAACGCUGGCGGCAGGCCUAACACAUGCAAGUCGAACGAACUCUUCGGAGUUAGUGGCGGACGGGUGAGUAACACGCGGGAACGUGCCUUUAGGUUCGGAAUAACUCAGGGAAACUUGUGCUAAUACCGAAUGUGCCCUUCGGGGGAAAGAUUUAUCGCCUUUAGAGCGGCCCGCGUCUGAUUAGCUAGUUGGUGAGGUAAAGGCUCACCAAGGCGACGAUCAGUAGCUGGUCUGAGAGGAUGAUCAGCCACAUUGGGACUGAGACACGGCCCAAACUCCUACGGGAGGCAGCAGUGGGGAAUCUUGCGCAAUGGGCGAAAGCCUGACGCAGCCAUGCCGCGUGAAUGAUGAAGGUCUUAGGAUUGUAAAAUUCUUUCACCGGGGACGAUAAUGACGGUGCCCGGAGAAGAAGCCCCGGCUAACUUCGUGCCAGCCGCCGCGGUAA